AACGAUGAAGCCCUUCGGGGUGGAUUAGUGGCGAACGGGUGAGUAACACGUGGGCAAUCUGCCCUUCACUCUGGGACAAGCCCUGGAAACGGGGUCUAAUACCGGAUACGACUGCGGGAGGCAUCUCCUGUGGUGGAAAGCUCCGGCGGUGAAGGAUGAGCCCGCGGCCUAUCAGCUUGUUGGUGAGGUAACGGCUCACCAAGGCGACGACGGGUAGCCGGCCUGAGAGGGCGACCGGCCACACUGGGACUGAGACACGGCCCAGACUCCUACGGGAGGCAGCAGUGGGGAAUAUUGCACAAUGGGCGAAAGCCUGAUGCAGCGACGCCGCGUGAGGGAUGACGGCCUUCGGGUUGUAAACCUCUUUCAGCAGGGAAGAAGCGAAAGUGACGGUACCUGCAGAAGAAGCGCCGGCUAACUACGUGCCAGCAGCCGCGGUAAUACGUAGGGCGCAAGCGUUGUCCGGAAUUAUUGGGCGUAAAGAGCUCGUAGGCGGCUUGUCACGUCGGGUGUGAAAGCCCGGGGCUUAACCCCGGGUCUGCAUC
RNAcentral lists this ribosomal RNA (545 nucleotides) under Streptomyces sp. CB01579. RNAcentral describes it as "bacterial SSU rRNA". It matches the Rfam family "Bacterial small subunit ribosomal RNA", at positions 65 to 627 of the family's 1533-position model. The record is from RNAcentral. Lineage: Bacteria; Bacillati; Actinomycetota; Actinomycetes; Kitasatosporales; Streptomycetaceae.